AGGGCGUUACAGGACCGGAUAUCUCUCUGCAAAAGGCACUACAGGACCGGAUAUCUCACCGUAAAAGGUGUUACAGGACCGCAUAUCUCACCGUAAAAGGUGUUACAGGACCGGAUAUCUCACCGUAAAAGGUGUUACAGGACCGCAUAUCUCACUGUAAAAGGUGUUACAGGACCGGAUAUCUCACCGUAAAAGGUGUUACAGGACCGCAUAUCUUACCGUAAAAGGUGUUACAGGACCGCAUAUCUCACUGUAAAAGGUGUUACAGGACCGGAUAUCUUACCGUAAAAGGUGUUACAGGACCGCAUAUCUCACUGUAAAAGGUGUUACAGGACCGGAUAUCUUACCGUAAAAGGCUAUUCCUGCUGCCAGCUGGGUCUCUUUCGCAUCCCAAUAAUAAAAUGGCGCCUGUGAAGUAAUUAAUAAGUGAAUUGCCCAUAGGUGUGCAUGUGUGAG
Brienomyrus brachyistius is the source of this 456-nucleotide long non-coding RNA. RefSeq lists it as uncharacterized. The transcript is spliced from 4 exons. Lineage: Eukaryota; Metazoa; Chordata; Actinopteri; Osteoglossiformes; Mormyridae. The record is from RefSeq and is a predicted model, not a curated record.